GACGAACGCUGGCGGCGUGCUUAACACAUGCAAGUCGAACGAAGAGCGAUGGAAGCUUGCUUCUAUCACUCUUAGUGGCGAACGGGUGAGUAACGCGUAAUCAACCUGCCCUUCAGAGGGGGACAACAGUUGGAAACGACUGCUAAUACCGCAUACGAUCUAAUCUCGGCAUCGAGGAUAGAUGAAAGGUGGCCUCUACAUGUAAGCUAUCACUGAAGGAGGGGAUUGCGUCUGAUUAGCUAGUUGGAGGGGUAACGGCCCACCAAGGCGAUGAUCAGUAGCCGGUCUGAGAGGAUGAACGGCCACAUUGGGACUGAGACACGGCCCAGACUCCUACGGGAGGCAGCAGUGGGGAAUCUUCCGCAAUGGACGAAAGUCUGACGGAGCAACGCCGCGGGAGUGAUGACGGCCGUCGGGUUGUAAAGCUCUGUUAAUCGGGACGAAAGGCCUUCUUGCGAAUAGUGAGAAGGAUUGACGGUACCGGAAUAGAAAGCCACGGCUAACUACGUG
RNAcentral lists this ribosomal RNA (510 nucleotides) under uncultured bacterium. RNAcentral's name for it is "partial 16S ribosomal RNA". It matches the Rfam family "Bacterial small subunit ribosomal RNA", at positions 28 to 507 of the family's 1533-position model. The record is from RNAcentral.